UCAACUCUUAUCUGAUUAAUACUACAAAUACUAGCAUGCAAGAAAGACAUGCAACAUAUAACCCGUUCCACCAUUAUAUCACGUAAAAGUUCACAAUUGCCGCAGCAGCAAAAACUGAGAUGAAAAACAACGCAGGAACCAGACAAAAAUGGCAGCAAAUAUAGCAGAAUUCAGUUUAACUUAUGAUAGACAGCCAUCUUUUUGGUGGGGAGUAACAUUACACCACAGGCUCAUAGGUUCAACACAUCACUUCCAAUACUACAUCUCCC
This 269-nucleotide long non-coding RNA is filed under the name Sorghum bicolor (sorghum). RNAcentral describes it as "long non-coding RNA (SBIC_LNC003800)". The record is from RNAcentral. Lineage: Eukaryota; Viridiplantae; Streptophyta; Magnoliopsida; Poales; Poaceae.